AAGGUUUUAAGUUAAAUCAAACUGUUAGCCUUCAAAGUUAAAUAUAAAUAAUUUUUAAGCCUUA
Molecule: transfer RNA, 64 nt
Filed under: Fuelleborniella sp. FuspCA
Lineage: Eukaryota; Metazoa; Arthropoda; Insecta; Psocodea; Caeciliusidae
Description: tRNA-Trp
Source: RNAcentral